This 468-nucleotide ribosomal RNA is filed under the name uncultured bacterium. Its description in RNAcentral is "partial 16S ribosomal RNA". It matches the Rfam family "Bacterial small subunit ribosomal RNA", at positions 28 to 507 of the family's 1533-position model. The record is from RNAcentral.
GACGAACGCUGGCGGCGUGCUUAACACAUGCAAGUCGAACGGAAAGGCCCUGCUUUUGUGGGGUGCUCGAGUGGCGAACGGGUGAGUAACACGUGAGUAACCUGCCCUUGACUUUGGGAUAACUUCAGGAAACUGGGGCUAAUACCGGAUAGGAGCUCCUGCUGCAUGGUGGGGGUUGGAAAGUUUCGGCGGUUGGGGAUGGACUCGCGGCUUAUCAGCUUGUUGGUGGGGUAGUGGCUUACCAAGGCUUUGACGGGUAGCCGGCCUGAGAGGGUGACCGGCCACAUUGGGACUGAGAUACGGCCCAGACUCCUACGGGAGGCAGCAGUGGGGAAUAUUGCACAAUGGGCGGAAGCCUGACGCAGCAACGCCGCGUGCGGGAUGAUGGCCUUCGGGUUGUAAACCGCUUUCGCCUGUGACGAAGCGUGAGUGACGGUAAUGGGUAAAGAAGCACCGGCUAACUACGUG